This is a small nucleolar RNA of Jaculus jaculus (lesser Egyptian jerboa), 136 nucleotides long. The record is from RefSeq and is a predicted model, not a curated record. NCBI's taxonomy places the organism in Eukaryota, Metazoa, Chordata, Mammalia, Rodentia, Dipodidae.
GCACCAACUCAGAACCUCUGUGUAUCUGCUCUGUGGCCUCAGAGGUCUGGGGGCGGUGCCAGAGGAGACCUAGCUUGCUCACAUCCGGGGCUGCUCGGUGCCACCGAAAUGAUUCCUUUGGCAGCAAGCGACAUUC